This 211-nucleotide unclassified non-coding RNA is filed under the name plant metagenome. RNAcentral's name for it is "partial contains small subunit ribosomal RNA, internal transcribed spacer 1, and 5.8S ribosomal RNA". The record is from RNAcentral.
UUUCCGUAGGUGAACCUGCGGAAGGAUCAUUCUUAAUAAAGUGUUUUAUGGCACUUUUUAAAAAUCCAUAUCCACCUUGUGUGCAAUGUUAGAUCUCGUCAAUCUUGGCGAGAUUUUUAUACAUCAACUCAUUUUUUAACUAAUUUGUCUGAAAAAUAUUAUGAAUACUUAAUUCAAAAUACAACUUUCAACAACGGAUCUCUUGGCUCUC